CGAACGCUGGCGGCGUGCUUAACACAUGCAAGUCGAGCGGUAAGGCCCUUCGGGGUACACGAGCGGCGAACGGGUGAGUAACACGUGAGCAAUCUGCCCUUCUCUUUGGAAUAACCAUUGGAAACGAUGGCUAAUGCCGAAUAUGAACCCCCUUCGCAUGUUGGGGGUUGGAAAGCUCCGGCGGAGAUGGAUGAGCUCGCGGCCUAUCAGCUUGUUGGUGAGGUAAUGGCUCACCAAGGCAUUGACGGGUAGCCGGCCUGAGAGGGUGACCGGCCACACUGGGACUGAGACACGGCCCAGACUCCUACGGGAGGCAGCAGUGGGGAAUAUUGGACAAUGGGCGAAAGCCUGAUCCAGCAACGCCGCGUGAGGGAUGACGGCCUUCGGGUUGUAAACCUCUUUCAGCAGGGACGAAGCGAGAGUGACGGUACCUGCAGAAGAAGGACCGGCCAACUACGUGCCACCAGCCGCGGUAAUACGUAGGGUCCGAGCGUUGUCCGGAAUUAUUGGGCGUAAAGGGCUCGUAGGCGGUUUGUCACGUCGGGAGUGAAAACUCAGGGCUCAACCCUGAGCGUGCUUCCGAUACGGGCAGACUAGAGGUAUUCAGGGGAGGACCGAAUUCCUGGUGUAGCGGUGGAAUGCGCAGAUAUCAGGAGGAACACCGGUGGCGAAGGCGGUUCUCUGGGGAAUUACCUGACGCUGAGGAGCGAAAGCAUGGGGAGCGAACAGGAUUAGAUACCCUGGUAGUCCAUGCCGUAAACGUGAGGCGCUAGGUGUGGGGACCUUCCACGGUUUCCGUGCCGCAGCUAACGCAUUAAGCGCCCCGCCUGGGGAGUACGGCCGCAAGGCUAAAACUCAAAGGAAUUGACGGGGGCCCGCACAAGCGGCGGAGCACGCUGAUUAAUUCGAUGCAACGCGAAGAACCUUACCUGGGUUUGACAUAUGCCGGAAAGCUGCAGAGAUGUGGCCUCCUUUUGGCCGGUAUACAGGCGGUGCAUGGCUGUCGUCAGCUCGUGUCGUGAGAUGUUGGGUUAAGUCCCGCAACGAGCGCAACCCUCGUUCUAUGUUGCCAGCACGUUAUGGUGGGGACUCAUAGGAGACUGCCGGGGUCAACUCGGAGGAAGGUGGGGAUGACGUCAAGUCUUCAUGCCCCUUAUGUCCAGGGCUUCAAGCAUGCUACAAUGGCCGGUACAAAGGGCUGCGAAACUGUAAGGUGGAGCGAAUCCCAAAAAGCCGGUCUCAGUUCGGAUUGGGGUCUGCAACUCGACCCCAUGAAGUCGGAGUCGCUAGUAAUCGCAGAUCAGCAACGCUGCGGUGAAUACGUUCCCGGGCCU
This 1334-nucleotide ribosomal RNA is filed under the name uncultured bacterium. Its description in RNAcentral is "16S ribosomal RNA". It matches the Rfam family "Bacterial small subunit ribosomal RNA", at positions 30 to 1381 of the family's 1533-position model. The record is from RNAcentral.